RNAcentral lists this ribosomal RNA (494 nucleotides) under uncultured bacterium. RNAcentral describes it as "partial 16S ribosomal RNA". It matches the Rfam family "Bacterial small subunit ribosomal RNA", at positions 28 to 507 of the family's 1533-position model. The record is from RNAcentral.
GACGAACGCUGGCGGCGUGCUUAACACAUGCCAGUCGAACGGAAAGGCCUGUCCUUCCUUGUGUUGGACGGGUACUCGAGUGGCGAACGGGUGAGUAACACGUGAGUGAUCUGCCCCCAACUUGGGUAUAAGCCUGGGAAACUGGGUCUAAUUCCCGAUAGGACUGCAGGGUGGUGCCUGUGGUGGAAAACGUUUUUCUAGUGGUUGGGGAUGAGCUCGCGGCCUAUCAGCUUGUUGGUGGGGUAAUGGCCUACCACGGCGGCGACGGGUAGCCGGCCUGGGAGGGUGGACGGCCACAUUGGGACUGGGAUACGGCCCCGACGCCUACGGGCGGCAGCAGUGGGGAAGAAUGCACAAUGGGCGGAAGCCUGAUGCAGCGACGCCGCGUGGGGGAUGACGGCCUUCGGGUUGUAAACUCCUUUCGACCGCGAGGAAGCCGCCUGGUUGGAAGGGUGGUGACGGUAGUGGUAGAAGAAGCACCGGCUAACUACGUG